Long non-coding RNA from Podarcis raffonei (Aeolian wall lizard), 3767 nucleotides. RefSeq lists it as uncharacterized. The record is from RefSeq and is a predicted model, not a curated record. Lineage: Eukaryota; Metazoa; Chordata; Lepidosauria; Squamata; Lacertidae. The transcript has 4 exons.
GGGGUAAUGGUAAAGCCCAACAGGCUGAGGACCAGUGCCCCAUAUACUGUGCGUGCCCUAGAAUCUUCUUCACAACUCUGCAACAAAACCACAGACCAACAUCCUAAUCUAAAGCAAAAUUGCAGACUUGAGGGAGAAUAGUUACACCUUAGGAAAUGCUUCCUGCAUCUAUAUUGUAUUUAUACUACAACAUAAAUACCAAUCAGUGGGGCCAUGGCAUUAUAGAAAAGGAGAAGGAGCAGAAGAGGGGUUGUCUGCUUGUGACGCUGAAAUAAAUAACUCUUGUGAUAUCGCUGACAUAGGUCAAAGAGAUGAUUGCCUAACAAAACCAGUCUCCAAGGUGCCAUAGUGUCUUUUAUCUUCUGUCUUGAUCCUAUAAUUCCCCCAAUUUACUCCUGGCAGCCUAUGGGGACUUACCGUACUUGGAUGAUUGCAAAACCAUUCCUAAUUAUAAGGCAAAACUGAGCUAGCGCUGGUUUGGAAGCGAUUAGGACAGUCUGGGCAUGAGAGGAUAUUGAGUAAUGGAGAUAUUUCUGCCUUUUGAUCCAAAAUAAGUAGCUAAAAAGAUACUUAUUUUGAUCCUGCUUUGUUUUAAAUCUUAAUAACUGUGCAGCACUUACUUUAAUUAUUGAUUUAUCAUACCCAUAAUUGUUGAACUAGAUGGGAGGGUGGUAGAUGAACAAUGGUAUGGUAGCUGCUAGCCAGUGCCACCCAAACAGAAAGAGUUGAAGGGUAUUUUUGAGCCUGAGUUUUUUAAGUUAAUAUGGAGAAAAGACAGAUUAUGGCAUAAUCCUGUUUCUGGAGAUAGAACUAGUAUGAGCCAGAGGGCAGACUAUAUUUUUUGUGGAUCCUACAACAAUAAAUUUAAGUUACUUGGUUUUAACAUGCUUUGGGAUGCCUAAUUAUGUACAGAACCAGGCUACAGUUUGUGUAGCUGAUUUUUUUAGCCUUAGUUUCCAUAGUAGAAAUCAUAGUGGUCUAUCUUGUGUGACUGUUGUGAGGAGAAAAUCUAAAUAACUAAUAGCUACUUUCAACAGCUUUAGUUCUCAUGUUUUUACCCAUAUCUGACUUCAAAUUCUUAUUUAAUCUGUCCACAGUCAUUACUGCAGGAUGUUAAAAGCCUAUAAUUAAUUUGCAAGUGUCGAUUUGUUUACAUAUCUACAACUAUGAGUCCUGGACACUAAGAGCAACAACAAAAACCAACCAGUCAGAUAGCAGCUGGAAGUUUUAUGUGGGGCAAACUUCAGGUGAUGUCCACCUCUGCAACCUUCGUGCUACAAUUAACCCUUCUGUAAAGGGCUAUUUCAGAGGGGACUUGGCACCCAAGAUUCUCUGUUCUGUACACCGCGAUGCCUAUGGUCUACCUCCACAGCUGGAGGCAGUAUGCCUAUGAAAGUCAGUUGUUAUGGGGAAAGCGCUGUUGUACUGAGGUCCUUCUUGCGGGUUUCCCAUGAGUAUAUGGUUGGCCACUGAGAACACAAUGCUAAGCCGUAAGUUUGAUCCAGCAAGCUGUUCUUACACCAUAUGGAUAUAUGAUUAUACAUUAUAAAAAUCUGAAUGAAUUAUAAAUUUAGUGUGACAUUCUAAGGCAUCACAAAACUGAGCAGGUGAAAGGAUUUAUGGAUCUAGUUGUAAAAUAAGUCCCUCUACAUCAAAUUUUAAGCUGAACAUUGCCCUGUUUUUUGGUUUUGCUCUUCUCCUUGCCUUCUGGGUACUCCUCCCACCCUUGGUUCAGUGCUCCCAGUUUUGGCAAUUCUUGUGACCUGUGAUAUUUGCCAGAGCUUCUUGCUUCUCUGCUUAACUUCAAGUUUCCCUGAUGAUUAAACUGACAACUGUUUUAACCCCAGCAAAAGAUGUGCUCCCAAGCUAGUCUGCUUCUGAAUACAGUCAAAUUAACCACUUUCUGGACUCUGGUGCUCGGUAGCCAUCCAGUCCAAAGGUUUGGAAGCAAGUAUGGUGCCACAACCAGUUCUGAUGUGUUAGUUGUACUAUACAAUUGGCCAAUGACAGAUUCCAAACCACCACUGUCUCCCAUGGAUUGCCAAGACUUUACCAGAAUAGCUCCUCUUUGGUUUUCUUCUCAGGGUUGAAAAAUGCAAGAUAAAAAAAUGCACAUACUGUACAGGUGAAAGAAACCAGAACUGAUAUGCCUCAGCCAUCUCCUAAAUUCCACCAUACAACUCAAAUAAUGUUACAGCUGGAUGCCUAUUGUCUCUGUUGGGUUUUUUUGUUUUGUUUUACAUAUUGAAGAACUUCCAUUUUCAACAAGCCUUUUGAGUCUGUACCUGUAUUGGAUUUCAAACUGUUUUAUUGUUAAUCGCUUCAGGAUGUUUCAUGGGAAGCAACAAACAAAAAGGCAGACAGUCAUUUCAGGGAGUUUUUGUACAUGAUGCCCAUGUUGUAAUGGAAUCAAAGUGGAGCUGUCUUCUGCCCACUCUUCCCUUAAACAUGUGGGCUCAGAUAAUUUUUCAUCUGGGCAUUUCUGUCAGUACUUAUUUUAUAUGGCUAACAUUUGCUUUACUGCCUUCUAGAUAUAUCCUUUCUGAAAAGUUCCGGUGGAUGAAUGGAAGCUGCUGAAUGGAAUUAGUCAGCCAUCCACCUUCAGAGAUGGCUGAUCUAAGCAAGAGCAAGCUAAGAAUAGUGCCUCUCAUGACUGGUGGUAUUUUUCUACUCCCCAUUACAUUCACUAACCUUGCACAGUAAUCUCAUCUGCAUCAGGACUUCUAGGAGUGCAGCUGUGCUGGUCUUCAACACCCUUGCCGGCAGCAGAAAGCAUAAAAGAGGCCUGAAGAGCUUCUUUAAAGCCAACCCUGCGUACAACAUUAUGUAAGUAAACGAUCUUGUAGCAUGGGCGUUGGGUUCCUCCACGGCAAAUGGCAUGUCCUGAGGAAGACCAAAAGGAAAAAGAAAAACCAUUAGCAAACCAGCAGGAAAAGUGCAGAGUCAAGUGUUCUCUUUUACGAAGCCAACCAUGGAACAUGUAUUUCAGGACAGGAUGUUAUAAACCCCUACGAUGCAAAGUGGUGUUUCUAAAACACAUUUUGAGAGAGAUCCUUGUGUUUCUAUUCGUCCUUAAAUGUACAAAACAAAAGUCUACAGUACUCCAUUCCAAGGAUCUUAAUACAGCACAGUAAUUGGACUGCGUGGGAUUCCAAUGUCUUGACUGCAGAUGGCAUACAAGUUAAAAUGCUGAGCACAGCAAAAACAGUCUAGUCACCAUCGAUAAUCUGACCAACAUGCAUCUCUGAUGAAACACAAAAUAAAUUACCUCUCUGAAGAAUCAGAUCCGCAGCUGGGAGGCAAUGGGAAGAAGAGAAAAAGCACAUCACUUAUAAAAUUGGCAAUGACCAGGACUGCAGAAUAUCCAGCCCUUAAGAGUGGGCUGCUUUGAAGUGGCUAAAGUUUUUGCAACAACCUGGCAAUUUCCUGCAUUUUAUCAGCAAAAUUUGAAGUUAUUUUUAGCCAAGGCAGGAAUGCAAUGCAGUUGAUUGCAGGCCGGGCACUGCUACAAGUCAACUUGUCCAACCAGUGAUCUCACUCUAUUGCAUACUAGAGAUGAGUCCAUGAAACUAAAGGUGCUUAGUUCUUAAGUAAGGUGUUGAUUUCAGUCUGAUUAGCCCUUAAUAAAUAUAGCUAAGAUCCUAACCAAUUUCUCUGCUGCAUCAAUAUGUUAGGCAUUUUUAGUGCAAAGAGGUAGAUGCAGAAGCCAAAGUUCAAAUUCCUCCUUAGAGCUGCUUCACUUCUUGCACAGCGACUAGAUCACACUG